UGAGGAAUAUUGCACAAUGGGGGAAACCCUGAUGCAGCAACGCCGCGUGGAGGAUGACGCAUUUCGGUGUGUAAACUCCUUUUAUCAGGGAAGAAGAUGACGGUACCUGAUGAAUAAGCGCCGGCUAACUCCGUGCCAGCAGCCGCGGUAAUACGGAGGGCGCAAGCGUUACUCGGAAUCACUGGGCGUAAAGGACGCGUAGGCGGCCCAUUAAGUCAGGUGUGAAAUCCUACAGCUUAACUGUAGAACUGCACUUGAAACUGGUGGGCUAGAGUAUGGAAGGGGCAGAUGGAAUUAGUGGUGUAGGGGUAAAAUCCGUAGAUAUCACUAGGAAUACCGAAAGCGAAGGCGAUCUGCUGGGACAUAACUGACGCUGAGGCGUGAAAGCGUGGGGAGCAAACAGG
This 404-nucleotide ribosomal RNA is filed under the name uncultured bacterium. Its description in RNAcentral is "bacterial SSU rRNA". It matches the Rfam family "Bacterial small subunit ribosomal RNA", at positions 355 to 776 of the family's 1533-position model. The record is from RNAcentral.